RNAcentral lists this ribosomal RNA (425 nucleotides) under uncultured bacterium. RNAcentral describes it as "partial 16S ribosomal RNA". It matches the Rfam family "Bacterial small subunit ribosomal RNA", at positions 354 to 796 of the family's 1533-position model. The record is from RNAcentral.
GUGGGGAAUCUUGCGCAAUGGGCGAAAGCCUGACGCAGCCAUGCCGCGUGAAUGAUGAAGGUCUUAGGAUUGUAAAAUUCUUUCACCGGGGACGAUAAUGACGGUACCCACAGAGGAAGCACCGGCUAACUCCGUGCCAGCAGCCGCGGUAAGACGGAGGGUGCAAGCGUUGUUCGGAAUUACUGGGCGUACAGCGUAUGUAGGCGGCAAGUUAAGUUCAAUGUUAAAGCCCACGGCUCAACCGAGGAGAUGCAUUGAAUACUGGCUAGCUAGAGGGUGUUAGAGGAAGACGGAAUUCCCAGUGUAGCGGUGAAAUGCGUAGAUAUUGGGAGGAACAUCGGUAGCGAAAGCGGUCUUCUGGGACAUACCUGACGCUGAGGUACGAAAGCGUGGGGAGCAAACGGGAUUAGAAACCCGUGUAGUCC